RNAcentral lists this transfer RNA (81 nucleotides) under Trichonephila clavata. It matches the Rfam family "tRNA". From Rfam's summary of the family: Transfer RNA (tRNA) molecules are approximately 80 nucleotides in length. Their secondary structure includes four short double-helical elements and three loops (D, anti-codon, and T loops). Lineage: Eukaryota; Metazoa; Arthropoda; Arachnida; Araneae; Nephilidae. The record is from Rfam by way of RNAcentral.
GGUAGCGUGGCCGAGCGGUCUAAGGCGCUGGUUUAAGGCACCAGUCUCUUCGGAGGCGUGGUUUCGAAUCCACCGCUUCCA